GUGAACGCUGGCGGCAGGCCUAACACAUGCAAGUCGAGCGGCAGCGCGGGGGCAACCCUGGCGGCGAGCGGCGGACGGGUGAGGAAUUCGUCGGAAUCUGCCUUUUUGUAGGGGAUAACGUAGGGAAACUUACGCUAAUACCGCAUACGACCUACGGGUGAAAGUGGGGGACCUUCGGGCCUCACGCAGAAAGAUGAGCCGACGACCGAUUAGCUAGUUGGUAGGGUAAAGGCCUACCAAGGCGACGAUCGGUAGC
RNAcentral lists this ribosomal RNA (256 nucleotides) under uncultured bacterium. RNAcentral describes it as "partial 16S ribosomal RNA". It matches the Rfam family "Bacterial small subunit ribosomal RNA", at positions 29 to 287 of the family's 1533-position model. The record is from RNAcentral.